ACUCAAAUGAAUAGACGGGGGCCCGCACAAGCGGCGGAGCAUGUGCCUUAAUUCGAGGCAACGCGAAGAACCUUACCUGGGUUGAACUACGCCGGAAAAGCCACAGAGAUGUGGUGUCCUUCGGGGUCGGCGAUAGGUGGUGCAUGGCUGUCGUCAGCUCGUGUCGUGAGAUGUUGGGUUAAGUCCCGCAACGAGCGCAACCCUUAUCCUAUGUUGCCAGCGCGUUAUGGCGGGGACUCGUAGGAGACUGCCGGGGUCAACUCGGAGGAAGGUGGGGACGAGGUCAAGUCAUCAUGCCCCUUAUGUCCAGGGCUGGACACAUGCUACAAUGGCCGGUACAGAGGGCUGCUAUUCCGCGAGGAUGAGCGAAUCCCAAAAAGCCGGUCUCAGUUCGGAUUGGAGUCUGCAACUCGACUCCAUGAAGUCGGAGUCGCUAGUAAUCCCGGAUCAGCAACGCCGGGGUGAAUACGUUCCCGGGCCUUGUACACACCGCCCGU
Molecule: ribosomal RNA, 497 nt
Filed under: uncultured bacterium
Lineage: Bacteria
Description: partial 16S ribosomal RNA
Rfam family: Bacterial small subunit ribosomal RNA
Source: RNAcentral